This 504-nucleotide ribosomal RNA is filed under the name uncultured bacterium. Its description in RNAcentral is "partial 16S ribosomal RNA". It matches the Rfam family "Bacterial small subunit ribosomal RNA", at positions 28 to 523 of the family's 1533-position model. The record is from RNAcentral.
GACGAACGCUGGCGGCGUGCCUAACACAUGCAAGUCGAACGGAGUAGAGCCCUUCGGGACUUUACUUAGUGGCGAACGGGUGAGUAACGCGUGAGGAACCUGCCUUCCAGUGGGGGACAACAGUUGGAAACGACUGCUAAUACCGCAUGAUGCUUUUGAGGGACAUCCCUUAACAGCCAAAGCUUCAUGUGCUGGAAGAUGGCCUCGCGUCUGAUUAGCUAGUUGGUGGGGUAACGGCCCACUAAGGCGACGAUCGGUAGCCGGUCUGAGAGGAUGAGCGACCACAUUGGGACUGAGAUACGGCCCAGGCUCCUACGGAAGGCAGCAGUGGGGAAUAUUGCACAAUGGGCGCAAGCCUGAUGCAGCCAUGCCGCGUGUAUGAGGAAGGCCUUCGGGUUGUAAAGUACUUUCAGCGGGGAGGAAGGCGGUGAAGUUAAUAACUUCACCGAUUGACGUUACCCGCAGAAGAAGCACCGGCUAACUCCGUGCCAGCCGCCGCGGUAA